Molecule: transfer RNA, 87 nt
Filed under: Cardiobacteriaceae bacterium
Lineage: Bacteria; Pseudomonadati; Pseudomonadota; Gammaproteobacteria; Cardiobacteriales; Cardiobacteriaceae
Description: tRNA-Leu
Rfam family: tRNA
About the family: Transfer RNA (tRNA) molecules are approximately 80 nucleotides in length. Their secondary structure includes four short double-helical elements and three loops (D, anti-codon, and T loops). Further hydrogen bonds mediate the characteristic L-shaped molecular structure. tRNAs have two regions of fundamental functional importance: the anti-codon, which is responsible for specific mRNA codon recognition, and the 3' end, to which the tRNAs corresponding amino acid is attached (by aminoacyl-tRNA synthetases). tRNAs cope with the degeneracy of the genetic code in two manners: having more than one tRNA (with a specific anti-codon) for a particular amino acid; and 'wobble' base-pairing, i.e. permitting non-standard base-pairing at the 3rd anti-codon position.
Source: RNAcentral
GCCCGGAUGGCGAAAUUGGUAGACGCAAGGGACUUAAAAUCCCUCGGUAGUGAUACCAUGCCGGUUCGACCCCGGCUCCGGGCACCA